GAAAUGCGAUAAGUAAUGUGAAUUGCAGAAUUCAGUGAAUCAUCGAAUCUUUGAACGCACAUUGCGCCCGCCAGUAUUCUGGCGGGCAUGCCUGUCCGAGCGUCAUUUCAACCAUCAAGCCCCCGGGCUUGUGUUGGGGACCUGCGGCUGCCCGCAGGCCCUGAAAACCAGUGGCGGGCUCGCUGUCACACCGAGCGUAGUAGCAAUCACCUCGCUCAGGACGUGCUGCGGGUUCCGGCCGUUAAACAGCCUUACAAAACCCAAGGUUGACCUCGGAUCAGGUAGGAAGACCCGCUGAACUUAAGC
RNAcentral lists this unclassified non-coding RNA (306 nucleotides) under plant metagenome. RNAcentral describes it as "partial contains 5.8S ribosomal RNA, internal transcribed spacer 2, and large subunit ribosomal RNA". The stretch from base 1 to 105 matches the Rfam family "5.8S ribosomal RNA", at positions 50 to 154 of the family's 154-position model. The record is from RNAcentral.